UCACUUCCCAUUCACGAAAAAGCGCCUAUAUAGGUCAGUGCCGAGUUCGCUCGGCUAUGGUGAUAAAUUGCGAUGUGCAAUAGAUGCAGCGGACCCGGGGGCGGUACCCGGCAGCUCCACCAAAAUCUCUGUUCAUCAGAGGUCUUGGAGGGGCUGAACUAGGAUCGACGUGCGUUGAAAAGCAUUGUUUUUGCCCGGCAUGAAUAAGCCGUGAAAUGGUUCAUAACCAAUAGGU
RNAcentral lists this transfer-messenger RNA (235 nucleotides) under Sphingomonadales bacterium 28-55-16. Its description in RNAcentral is "partial transfer-messenger RNA". It matches the Rfam family "Alphaproteobacteria transfer-messenger RNA", at positions 1 to 231 of the family's 355-position model. From Rfam's summary of the family: Bacterial tmRNA, also known as 10Sa RNA or SsrA, is named for its dual tRNA and mRNA-like properties. Its role is to liberate the mRNA from a stalled ribosome. The record is from RNAcentral. Lineage: Bacteria; Pseudomonadati; Pseudomonadota; Alphaproteobacteria; Sphingomonadales.